This 338-nucleotide unclassified non-coding RNA is filed under the name uncultured fungus. RNAcentral's name for it is "partial contains small subunit ribosomal RNA, internal transcribed spacer 1, and 5.8S ribosomal RNA". The stretch from base 1 to 73 matches the Rfam family "Eukaryotic small subunit ribosomal RNA", at positions 1759 to 1831 of the family's 1831-position model. The record is from RNAcentral. Lineage: Eukaryota; Fungi.
GCAAACUUGGUCAUUUAGAGGAAGUAAAAGUCGUAACAAGGUUUCCGUAGGUGAACCUGCGGAAGGAUCAUUAUUGAAUAAAUCUGGUGGACUGUUGCUGGCUCCUUGGAGCAUGUGCACGCUCUCCACCUUUAUACAUCCACCUGUGCACCAUAUGUAGUCUUGGGGGAAAAUGAUCUGUAGUCUUUGCUGAUUGCAGAAUCACCUCUCAAGUCUAUGUCUUUUUCAUAUACCACGUAGAAUGUUUCAGAAUGUAUUUAAUGGGCCACAGUGCCUAUAAAUGUUAUACAACUUUCAGCAACGGAUCUCUUGGCUCUCGCAUCGAUGAAGAACGCAGC